CCUCUUCAAGAUGAAGAAAUUGUCUCCUACAUCCUGACUGGUCUUGGGUCAGAUUAUGAGUCCUUUGUAACAUCCAUGGCUACUCGGGCUGAACCAGUGGGGUUAACUGAACUUUAUUCCCAUCUGAUCAGUCACGAGC
Phragmites australis (common reed) is the source of this 139-nucleotide small nucleolar RNA. RefSeq annotates it as small nucleolar RNA Z247. NCBI's taxonomy places the organism in Eukaryota, Viridiplantae, Streptophyta, Magnoliopsida, Poales, Poaceae. The transcript has a single exon. The record is from RefSeq and is a predicted model, not a curated record.